Molecule: long non-coding RNA, 1189 nt
Organism: Panthera uncia (snow leopard)
Lineage: Eukaryota; Metazoa; Chordata; Mammalia; Carnivora; Felidae
Exons: 2
Source: RefSeq, a predicted model, not a curated record
GAUGAGGUGUAAAAAGAGAAUACAUUUCUUUAUCCACCCUUGGACUGUAUUUGUGACUAAAGUAAAUGUCCAAUAGCAUUAAAAUAAAAUAUAUAAUAAGUGCUUAGAAGGUCAAGGACAAAGGGCAAAUAACCGUGAAACAUGGCCACCAUUUCCUUUGGGACUUCUGUGCCUAGGGCGAAAAAAAAAAAAGAAUUGAUUGUGAAAGGCAGACCACUUCAGAUCUUAAGGAAGUCUGAGUAGGAAGAUCAGUGUUGCCUAGAACAUUCUAGGAAGCUCGCUUUCCUGAAAGGCCGUAUAAUCAACAUGAUGACACAUCAGGCGUAUGAUGUGUAAUGCUUUGCUGAAUAAAAAUUUCAAGGGGCACCUGGCUGGCUCUGUCAUAAGAGCAUGCAAUGCUUGAUCUUGGGAUUGUGAGUUUGAGCCCCACGCUGGGUGUAGAGAUUACUUUAAAAUUAAAAAAAAAAAAAGAGAGAGAGAGAGAGAAUUUCACAAUUUUUUUUUUUUUUUUUUUUUUUACUUUUGGUUAGUGGGAAAGCAAACUCUUAUGACUAGUGAGUAUUGAAUCUAAAAUUGGUAUCUGUUUGAAAAUCAAAGGUUCACAAAGUUUAAAAUUUCACAUAGAACAAUGUGUGUUCACUUUGUAAGCUGCCCAGGAAUUAAUUUGAAUGUGUGAAAUUUAUUUACAUUCAAUUAUUCGUUUUUAUUAAACAUUUUUUUAAAUUUUUACUUAUUUUUGAGAGAGAGAUGGAGCAUGCAAGAGUCAGCGGGGCAGAAAGAGAGGGGGGGACAGAGAGUCCAAAACAGGCUCUGCGCUGACAGCAAUGAGCCCAACGCGAGGUUUGAACUCAUGAACCACGAGAUCAUGACCUGAGCUGAGUUGGCUGCUUAACCAACUGAGCCAUCCAGGUGCCCCUAUUUGCAUUAAAUUAUAACGUAGGUGUCUGGUUGGCUCAGUCAGUAGAGCAUGCAACUCUUGAUCUCAGAGCUGUGAGUCUGAGCCCCCACAUGGGGGGCAGAAUUUACCUAAAAAAAAAAAAAAAAAAAAAAUUUUAGGGGCACCUGGGUGGCUUAGUCAGUUCAGUGUCAUGAUCCCGGGGUUGUGGGAUCUAGCUCCACUUCGGGCUCCGUGCGGAGGGUGGAGCCUGCUUAAGAUUCUCGCUCUCUCCCUCCCUCGGCUCCCUCCCCC